Molecule: ribosomal RNA, 397 nt
Filed under: uncultured bacterium
Lineage: Bacteria
Description: bacterial SSU rRNA
Rfam family: Bacterial small subunit ribosomal RNA
Source: RNAcentral
GAUGAACGCUAGCGGCAGGCUUAACACAUGCAAGUCGAGGGGCAGCGAGAGAGUAGCAAUACUUUUGUCGGCGACCGGCGGACGGGUGCGUAACGCGUAUGCAAACCUACCUUAUACAGGGGGGAUAACCUUUUCGAAAGGGAGACUAAUACCGCAUAACAUUACUUUGAGGCAUCUUGAGGUAAUUAAAUCUUCGGAGGUAUAAGAUGGGCAUGCGUAGCAUUAGCUAGAUGGUGCGGUAACGGCGUACCAUGGCGACGAUGCUUAGGGGUUCUGAGAGGAAGGUCCCCCACACUGGUACUGAGAUACGGACCAGACUCUACGGGAGGCAGCAGUGAGGAAUAUUGGUCAAUGGUCGGAAGACUGAACCAGCCAUGCCGCGUGCAGGAAGAAUGUC